RNAcentral lists this ribosomal RNA (445 nucleotides) under uncultured bacterium. RNAcentral's name for it is "partial 16S ribosomal RNA". It matches the Rfam family "Bacterial small subunit ribosomal RNA", at positions 331 to 792 of the family's 1533-position model. The record is from RNAcentral.
CCAGACUCCUACGGGAGGCAGCAGUGGGGGAUAUUGCACAAUGGGGGGAACCCUGAUGCAGCGACGCCGCGUGGGUGAAGAAGCGCCUCGGCGCGUAAAGCCCUAUCGGCAGGGAAGAAGGAGGACGGUACCUGACUAAGAAGCCCCGGCUAACUACGUGCCAGCAGCCGCGGUAAUACGUAGGGGGCAAGCGUUAUCCGGAUUUACUGGGUGUAAAGGGGGCGCAGACGGCAGCGCAAGCCAGGAGUGAAAGCCCGGGGCCCAACCCGCACACUGCAUUGGGAACUGUAUGGCUAGAGUGUUGGAGGGGCAGGCGGAAUUCCUGGUGUAGCGGUGAAAUGCGUAGAUAUCAGGAGGAACACCGGUGGCGAAGGCGGCCUGCUGGACGACGACUGACGUUGAGGCUCGAGAGCGUGGGGAGCGAACAGGAUUAGAUACCCGAGUA